Arachis stenosperma is the source of this 182-nucleotide long non-coding RNA. RefSeq lists it as uncharacterized. The record is from RefSeq and is a predicted model, not a curated record. Lineage: Eukaryota; Viridiplantae; Streptophyta; Magnoliopsida; Fabales; Fabaceae. The transcript has 3 exons.
GAUUGCUUUCGGCUCAUCUUAUAGCCAAUGAUUACGCUACGGGAUGUGAUGAUUGGUGCCAUUCCAAGCUAUGAGGAGCCGUAUAUUCAAGUUCCAAGGGUCUUAAGUAUGGACUAAAAACUUUGUAAAGUUCAUUGAAGGUGGAGCAGAGGCUGAAAUAAACUCAUAGUGAAGUUGACUCG